This 1443-nucleotide ribosomal RNA is filed under the name uncultured organism. Its description in RNAcentral is "SSU rRNA". It matches the Rfam family "Bacterial small subunit ribosomal RNA". The record is from RNAcentral.
CUAGCUACAGGCUUAACACAUGCAAGUCGAGGGGCUGCAUGGUCUUAGCUUGCUAAGGCCGAUGGCGACCGGCGCACGGGUGAGUAACGCGUAUCCAACCUGCCUUACACUCUUGGACAGCCUUCUGAAAGGGAGAUUAAUACAAGAUGUUAUCAUGAGUAAGCAUUUUCGCAUGAUUAAAGGUUUACCGGUGUAAGAUGGGGAUGCGUUCCAUUAGAUAGUAGGCGGGGUAACGGCCCACCUAGUCUUCGAUGGAUAGGGGUUCUGAGAGGAAGGUCCCCCACAUUGGAACUGAGACACGGUCCAAACUCCUACGGGAGGCAGCAGUGAGGAAUAUUGGUCAAUGGACGAGAGUCUGAACCAGCCGAGUAGCGUGAAGGAUGAAGGUUCUAUGGAUUGUAAACUUCUUUUAUACGGGAAUAAACGGAUCCACGUGUGGAUUUUUGCAUGUACCGUAUGAAUAAGGAUCGGCUAACUCCGUGCCAGCAGCCGCGGUAAUACGGAGGAUCCGAGCGUUAUCCGGAUUUAUUGGGUUUAAAGGGAGCGUAGAUGGGUUGUUAAGUCAGUUGUGAAAGUUUGCGGCUCAACCGUAAAAUUGCAAUUGAUACUGGCAGUCUUGAGUACAGUUGAGGUAGGCGGAAUUCGUGGUGUAGCGGUGAAAUGCUUAGAUAUCACGAAGAACUCCGAUUGCGAAGGCAGCUUACUAACCUGUAACUGACAUUGAUGCUCGAAAGUGUGGGUAUCAAACAGGAUUAGAUACCCUGGUAGUCCACACGGUAAACGAUGAAUACUCGCUGUAGGCGAUAUACAGUCUGCGGCCAAGCGAAAGCAUUAAGUAUUCCACCUGGGGAGUACGCCGGCAACGGUGAAACUCAAAGGAAUUGACGGGGGCCCGCACAAGCGGAGGAACAUGUGGUUUAAUUCGAUGAUACGCGAGGAACCUUACCCGGGCUUAAAUUGCAACCGAAUAUGGCGGAAACGCUAUAGCUAGCAAUAGCGGUUGUGAAGGUGCUGCAUGGUUGUCGUCAGCUCGUGCCGUGAGGUGUCGGCUUAAGUGCCAUAACGAGCGCAACCCUUGUUGUCAGUUACUAACAGGUUCCGCUGAGGACUCUGACAAGACUGCCAUCGUAAGAUGUGAGGAAGGUGGGGAUGACGUCAAAUCAGCACGGCCCUUACGUCCGGGGCUACACACGUGUUACAAUGGGGGGUACAGAGGGCUGCUACCACGCAAGUGGAUGCCAAUCCCAAAAACCUCUCUCAGUUCGGAUUGAAGUCUGCAACCCGACUUCAUGAAGCUGGAUUCGCUAGUAAUCGCGCAUCAGCCACGGCGCGGUGAAUACGUUCCCGGGCCUUGUACACACCACCCGUCAAGCCAUGGGAGCCGGGGGUACCUGAAGUGCGUAACCGCAAGGAGCGCCCUAGGGUAAAACUGGUGACUGGGGC